UCUCGGUGGCGACCGCGUGCUUGCUUGGGCGAGAGAGAAUGCGGCAUUGUUGCGCGCGCUCUUGCCUGUGCUGCCCUUCGCAGCAUACUCUCGGCGGUACGCGUCCACCGCACCAACACAGCCACACACUCAAAGGUUGCUUUUGGGAGAAGAAGAUAAAACAUCCAGCACCCACCACCUGUGCAACAUAGAUCCUACUACAGCUCACGCGGGUUUUUUUUUCGUUUUGGAGUUUAGAGUGCCGCUCAAAAGGCGAGAGAAAUCGUGCAACGCGCUUGGGGGAAACGACGCGCAUGCAACAUAACACAACCCAAAGAAGGCAAAUCAAUGUGUCUUCCCAAAACGACAGCUGAUUGAAAUCGGAGAGAAAGAUGCAACAAAACUCCCCUUUCUACCCUUUGGAUAUAUUAGUAUGUGUGUAUGUGUGUGUGUUUCGCUAUCGCUCACGCUCGGUUUGUAUCCACAAUAUUGUUAUCAACAUUCUCGUCCAACCUACACCGAACCUGUACACGAAAGAUGCUGAUGCACAGGUGUGUGCUGACGAAGCAUACAUACGACGGGAAACUCGAAGCGCCGGGGGAGAUGCUGCUGGUGGUGCAGAGGAAACGGAGCCUUGGAUGCACCUUUCUCCAGCUCCACGCGAACUGCACGUUGUGUGGGUACGUGGCAACACAACGUGCCCCGUGUUGGGGUGAGGAAUGCAUGUACUGCUAGUAGAUGUAACCAUUUAAUGAUGGUUUUACGAUGGAAAUGGAAAAUAACCAAUUGCAUGUGAAUAUUGUUUUCAAUAUUAAUGUAACAUGUUUUAUUACACACAAGCAAGCCUUUGAGAAUAGGAAACAUAUAAGAGAUACAUUAAUUGAAACAAAA
Anopheles coluzzii is the source of this 870-nucleotide long non-coding RNA. RefSeq lists it as uncharacterized. The record is from RefSeq and is a predicted model, not a curated record. Lineage: Eukaryota; Metazoa; Arthropoda; Insecta; Diptera; Culicidae. The transcript has 2 exons.